This 489-nucleotide ribosomal RNA is filed under the name uncultured bacterium. RNAcentral's name for it is "partial 16S ribosomal RNA". It matches the Rfam family "Bacterial small subunit ribosomal RNA", at positions 30 to 506 of the family's 1533-position model. The record is from RNAcentral.
AUUGAACGCUGGCGGCAGGCCUAACACAUGCAAGUCGAACGGUAACAGGAAGCAGCUUGCUGCUUCGCUGACGAGUGGCGGACGGGUGAGUAAUGUCUGGGAAGCUGCCUGAUGGAGGGGGAUAACUACUGGAAACGGUAGCUAAUACCGCAUAAUGUCGCAAGACCAAAGAGGGGGACCUUCGGGCCUCUUGCCAUCGGAUGUGCCCAGAUGGGAUUAGCUUGUUGGUGGGGUAACGGCUCACCAAGGCGACGAUCCCUAGCUGGUCUGAGAGGAUGACCAGCCACACUGGAACUGAGACACGGUCCAGACUCCGACGGGAGGCAGCAGUGGGGAAUAUUGCACAAUGGGCGCAAGCCUGAUGCAGCCAUGCCGCGUGUAUGAAGAAGGCCUUCGGGUUGUAAAGUACUUUCAGCGGGGAGGAAGGGAGUAAAGUUAAUACCUUUGCUCAUUGACGUUACCCGCAGAAGAAGCACCGGCUAACUCCGU